UGAAUAUGCUGGUGCCUUGAUCUUGGAUUUCCUAUUCUCCAGAGUUGGCAUUGGCGUGAAAAGAAUGGAAACAUCAAAAGGAAAACGGACAACUUUCAUGAACAAAGUAGAAUUCCUUGGAAAUGUGGAGCAGGUUGACAUUAUGUGGGUCAGUUCAGAAAUAAGGAGGAUCCUUCUUUAAAAGAUUUCUGGGGAUUGGGCACCAAGAUGGCCGAAUAGGAGCAGCUCCAGCAUCCAGCUCCCAGUGUGAGUGACAGAGAAGACGGGUGAUUUCUGCAUUUCCAACUGAGGUACCAGGUUCAUCUCAAUGGGGUAUGUCCAACAGUCAGUGCAGGACAGUGGGUGCAGCCCAGUGAACGAGAGCUGAAGCAGGGCGAGGCAUUGCCUC
Macaca mulatta (Rhesus monkey) is the source of this 388-nucleotide non-coding RNA. The record is from RefSeq and is a predicted model, not a curated record. Lineage: Eukaryota; Metazoa; Chordata; Mammalia; Primates; Cercopithecidae.